Molecule: unclassified non-coding RNA, 164 nt
Filed under: uncultured Helotiales
Lineage: Eukaryota; Fungi; Ascomycota; Leotiomycetes; Helotiales
Description: sequence contains ITS1
Source: RNAcentral
CAGAGAACCUGCCCAUGUGGGUAGAUCUCCCACCCUUUGUUUACUUUACCUUUGUUGCCUUGGCAGGCCCGUCGUAUUGACCACCGGCUUCAGCGGGUCAGUGCCUGUCAGAGGACCCCCAAAACUCUCUAAUUUUGUUUUGUCUGAGUACUAUAAAAUCGUUA